UCCAAGGGGAGGUGCUCGCUCGCCCAGCUUUGGGGCUCCUUCUUCUCCAGGCCCAUGAGUUCUUUGUACCUGCCUGUUCUUGCUCACCCUGGCAGCUCUCUGCCCCAGCUGGUGUUUGCAUGGCCCACGCUUUUUUGGUGCUAUGAGAGCCCAAGCUUUCUCAGUGCACCAUCCACCUUCACUCCCUCUUCCCCAGCCUGCAGCAAGGGACGCUCCUGAGACCACAGUGUGGGCUCCUUACCUGGGUCCAGAGUGGGAGCACCAGGACUACCUUCCAGGAAGAGGACUAUUUUUGCUGAGAAACAGCUUCGAUGCAUCUUUAAUAAGAAAUAUCAGAGUAGCCCUCCACGCUCCCAAACUGCCUCAGUCCAAAUCCUGGCUCUGUACCUUAAGAGGAUCCUCCAAGACUCUCAAUGGAGAAAGUGACCUUUGAGGAUGUAGCUGUGAACUUCACCUCGGCAGAGUGGGCUUUGCUGAAUCCAUCCCAAAAGAAGCUGUACAGAGGUGUGAUGUGGGAAACACUUAUGAAUGCUAAUGCUAUAGGAAGAACAUGGAUAACCAGCAAAUUGAAGAACAGGAGAAAAUUUGCUCAAGAAAUCUAGGAUAUGAUACAGAGAAUUACUUGAAGUUUGAAGAGAAGCUAAAUAAAUGUAAUGAACAUGGAA
Molecule: long non-coding RNA, 665 nt
Organism: Chinchilla lanigera (long-tailed chinchilla)
Lineage: Eukaryota; Metazoa; Chordata; Mammalia; Rodentia; Chinchillidae
Exons: 3
Source: RefSeq, a predicted model, not a curated record